GUAAGCGGCGCCCGGGUGAGAGAGAAUUUGUCCCAUCCGCGCGCCGCGCCCGCACCCAACGCAACCCAAUCCUCUCGUCCCGCACGCCGUGCACACUCCGGUCCCCUCAUCCUGCAUGAAACCUAGGAGAGAGAGAUAGGAAGAUGAGAGGGAGAGAAAGGGGAGAGGAGAGGAGAGGGAGGUCCGGCAGCGGACGGGAGAGGGUGACCGGCCAGCGUCGGCCUACACCGGCGAGGCGUCGGCCUGCGCCCCUCCUCGCGCACGAACCCUAGCUGAGAGACAAAAUGAGGGGGAGAGAGAGAAGGAAGGAGAGGAGGGAGAAAGAGAGAGGAAAGAGGAAAGGGAGGUGCGGCGGCUGACAGGAGAGAGGGUCAUCGGCCGGCGCUGGAGAGGACGGUCCCGACCUGGACGCGACUUGGAGGUUGGCGCCCUUUGUCCAUCCCCUCUAUCCCCACGAGCCGCCGCGCCCCUCCCUCUCCCCCUCAUCCUCUCACCGCAGCCGCCGGCCUUCUCUCCACUCGCCUCCUCCUCUCCUCUAUCACGUUGUCGUCGAUCCACCGCCGGCAUUCUCCUCAGCUUGCCUAGGUCAUCGUCAUGGGAGAGCAGCGACGGCGGUGUCUUCGCGGUGCGGAUGGGGAUGUAGGGGAGGGGUGGGGAUGUACGGGAAGGAGGAAGCCGGUGAGGAAGGCAAGCAACAGCGGGGAAUGAGCUAGGUGAGCGAUCCUAGCGGGUGGGAAGGGGCAGGUUGAGGCCUCGCGCACCUGCCAGCGGCAGGCAGGUCGAAUUGUCGCGCCACCGCGUCGUCGCCUCCUCUGCACCAUGAGGUGCCACCUCUGCCUCCACCCCCCACCGGGCAAGGAGCUCAAGGUGAAUAGGCGGUGGGAAGGUGAGAGGAAGCAGGAGCUCAUCUCUCCUCCAAUGGCUGCCUCGUGCAUCUGGAGGACAACACGUGCUUGUUGGAGGCGACUCGAGCGAUGCAGGUCAGCGGCGAACUAGAUCUGACAUAGAAGACCACGUUCCUCAUAUUCAAAAGUGAUCUUCUUCCAAUGGCUCUAAUGCAAAGAGGAGGAGUCACAUACAUGCGCACCUGCCAGCGGCAGGCAGGUCGAAUUGUCGCGCCACCGCAUCGUCGCCUCCUCUGCACCAUGAGGUGCCACCUCUGCCUCCACCCCCCACCGGGCAAGGAGCUCGAGGUGAAUAGGCGGUGGGAAGGUGAGAGGAAGCAGGAGCUCAUCUCUCCUCCAAUGGCUGCCUCGUGCAUCUGGAGGACAACACGUGCUUGUUGGAGGCGACUCGAGCGAUGCAGAUCUGACAUCGAAGACCACGUUCCUCAUAUUCAAAAGUGAUCUUCUUCCAAUGGCUCUAAUGGUAAUUUAUAACCUCUUUUGAUGUACCGCAGUUGUGUCAAGUUUGCUGACAUCCUCGUGCUGCAACUGGCUUGGUAUAUUUGGUUAAUCGUAACCAGCAAAGAGGAGGAGUCUCAUACAUGCCUGCUAUUCUUUAUGUGGUUGUAUGAAGUGUACCUUCAACUAAUCAAGCAACCUGGCAUUAGUAGUUUGUUUAAUUAAUAUCACUCUCAUCAAAGAGUAUGAUAUCAUUUAGCUAGCCUCCUUUCUUUGUAAGAGGGAUAGUGUAAAGGUUAGAAAUGGGUAACGGAAUGAGUGUUCUCAUUUUUACUGCCCCUGGAUUUAGGGAAUAUAUAUGCGUAUAUAUUGAUGCUCAUCGUUGCCAUGUCUGGCUCUUCAGGUGCAUGCUAGCUAGAAGUUCAGAUUUGUAAUCAACGAGUGUAAAAUUGAUUGUCUCUGGUUACUCUCGUGAUCUGUAUCUAGAGGGCAAGUCAGGUCUUGGAAUGCUGAGGUGAGACUUUCCAUGGCCUCUGUUUUUCUUGAUGGGUGGAUUACACAUUACUUCCUUGGAUGUUUAAAGAUUAUUAUAUCAUUGCUCCCCUUUUUAUCGGCAAGCAUUCUCUCAUCUUCUGGUAACUUGAGUAAGAUGCAACACACUAAUGCUUUCUUAGUCUGGUUUGUUGCAAAAAAUAAUUGAAGUGUGCAGACAGGCAGCAUGGAAACACUAAAGAGAAGUUUCAUACGUACUAAUAGCUGGAGUGAUUUGAUACCUGUAGUAACCGUCUUAGAAUAAAUAAGAUUCAGCUAUUUCUAAAGAUAUUAGACCAUAAGAUUAUUCUUAAGUAAAGAUGUUUCAUGCUUCUGUUUCUGCAAAAUUUCUAAGAGUAUAUGAUUUCAUUUUCCUUCUUUCCCAGUUAUAAAUUUAUUGGCAUCAAAGUAGAGCUUCAGGUUUAUGGUUCAGUAUAUCAUUGCAAAGUAGUUUAUGGCUCAGUAUAUCACUACAGGUUCCUUACACUCUCAAAUUUCAAUGUUUUUGUAUUUUUGUCGAUGGAACCAUGUUCUUUGACUAUAAAGUAGCAGAGAUUUCUUUUCUAUCAAUUCUAAUCCCUUUUUAUGCAUUGCUGGUUUGCUAUCAAACUCUCAAAAAUGGAAAAACAACUUUACUUUGGUUUUUUGAGAACCUUCCUGUAGAGUACCUCGACAGAGACAAAUAUGCGGUCAAGGAUAUAUUCGAUGGAUUUUCAUGCCAAACUUGGAGGAUAUUUUUGCAGGUUCGUUGCUUGCAUUAUUGUUUUCUUACUUUCUGUUCUUCAAGACAAUAUCUUCCUAGCAUUGCUCUAUAAAUUUAAAUCCAUCUUUUUGUUCUUUGGAUUAUCAUGGCGUACUCAUCCUGUGUAAUCCAAGCAAGGGCCUUCAUGUUUGCAGAUAGUUUGGUACUCUCGUGGUUAUUUUUGUGGUGAUUUGCCUUCUAUUCAUUACUUGGUAACCAUCUACUGCAGGUCAGCUAUUGUCCAGCUGCUAACCUUAUGGUGAGUGGUUGAUGGUGCAUGUUUUCCUAUUAGUUUCUCUCUAUGCCAAUGUCUGAAUUUUAUCUUGCCGUUUUGCAUUUCUACAGGCCUUUCAUUCUCAUUGUGAUUCCCCGAGAUGCGCUAUUAGUAGGCAUCCACUUUCUAAUAAAAAUUUGGAAGUCAACUUGAAAAGAGUCAUUUAUCUAGCUACAGCAACCUUCCUUGCUUUUGCAAAUAAUACUUUAUGGUUGACAAUAUAGUCUACACCUGCCAAACAUUUACACGUUAGUAUAACCAGAAAGUCAGAUGAUCGUUCCAUGUUGGUUAGCCGUGAUAAAUCAAAUUUCUAGAGUAGCAGAUGAUUCGUGUCAGGUUUCUUUUAGAGAUUGAAAUAUGUCUUGACUCCGAAAUAAGUAGUACAACGUCCAGUUCUGCAUAGGUGAAAGCAUACUGUGCAAAACCGGACAGCCUUCUAAAGCUCUGAAACUACUAUUUGUUUUUGUUUUUUGCGGUUAACUACUACUUGUUGUGUGAUCAGUACCCCCUUUUUAUACUCUGUAUAUGCUUUCUACUUACUAGGAAAAAAUGCGUGAGAACGAUGGCCUAGAGGAUGUGAAUUGCACUCGAAUAUAUGCAGGUUUCUUGCCAAACUAACUGCCACUAUUAUAUUUCAGGUGCUUCUUCUGUAACUUAGUGUAUUUUCCUGGCUCUUCUCAUUUCCUGGCGAACUUUUUAGUAUGUACAGUUGAAUCGUUGGAAGUUGUUUUCUACUAUCUAUAGAGGUUUUAUCCAAACUAUUAGCUGCCUGACUUGCUUUUUCGAAAUACACCGUCCUGAUAGACAUUUCCAUGGGAUGUUAGAAAAAUAUAUGUGAAUUUGCAUACAUUUUAUAAAUUCCUAUCUUUACUUAUCCAUGCUUCCCCAUAGAUAAAUAGCAGGUUCAACAAAAAUGAAUGUUCUCUUUUGUUCAAAUUUCAAGAAAGUGUGCUUCACGCUUCUCUUUCUGCAAUAUGUUUCGGAGUGUAUGAUUUGAUUUUCCUACUUUCCCGGUUACAAUACUGUGUACUUCAUUCCUAGCUUUGCUUGAAAUAGGUAUGCAGGUUAUCGAAAGCUCCAUUUUUCUCCAUUAUAUAGAUUAUAUAGCUUUGUGAUCAAAGGUAGGUUGUCACACAGGGGAUUUGGCUUGUGAAAGUUAUAUACAUCCAUGAGUCCCUAACAAAAUAAUCGCAGCUCAUGUUAAAAGGAUCAGGGAACCUCGACCAUUUUUCUGAAACAUGUCUCAGCUCAUGUUCCGACUUUCUACACUACUAUGUACUUCAUUCUUACCUUUGCUUUUGGAAGUUACAUUCUUUCUUUUCCCUCGUAAACUUGCUAACGAUAUUGGCAAAGUAAUCCCCACUUCAUAUUUCCCAUUGAAUGAAUAACUAAUUUAGAUUGUUCAAAAAUUGUAGGUCAAGAGGCAUGAAUAGGAGCAGGGCAUCACACUCCAGCUCUGAGAAGGAAAGGAUAUGAAGACAAAGAUAUAUGAGUGUUGUGCUCCGACGCAAAAACAUUUUGCGUGUAAUAAUGAACUGUAAUUUACCACAAUCUCUCUACAACAGGCCUACCUAUUACCAUCCGUUGCUUGCUUUUGUAUUAGGAAGUAUGACUCAGUCAUAUAUAUUUACAUUCACGUUGUUUAGUUAUGGUUCGUAUGCAUGAACAUACCUUUUUAACCGAGCUUGAAAAUUCUUAUGUGUAGUGAAAUUGCAUCUAGCACUUUAGACAUCAUAAUCAUAAAUGGUUGCUAAAGAGUUUGAAUUGGUAAAGUGGUUGCAUCCGCUGUUACAGGUCUGGAAUGUUCCUCCAUGCUAAAACCUAAUUUAAUUUUGAAAACACUUUGUGUUUGAAAUUGACAUUGUGCUGUUUGGUGUAAUGGGCCAUUUGUGUAACCAUGCAUGCAGAGAAAUCAGAAAUAAUAAGAAAGGAG
RNAcentral lists this ribosomal RNA (4823 nucleotides) under Triticum aestivum (bread wheat). Its description in RNAcentral is "partial small subunit ribosomal RNA". Lineage: Eukaryota; Viridiplantae; Streptophyta; Magnoliopsida; Poales; Poaceae. The record is from RNAcentral.